UUACAACUCUUUUCCUCUUCUGUUCUAAUAUCUAAAAAUAUCUCUUUUAGGUGGAAGUUUGAUGUUUACUUGACUCAUAAUCAAAAGUUGUUUGUUUUGAUGAGAAUCUAUUUCAAUUUAUUUAAGGUUCACAAUUAUGUAAUUCCUAAAAAAUAUAAUUUUAUUCCAGUUUAAGUUUAGAUUUCAGAUUGAAGUUUGUCUUGAGUUC
Molecule: long non-coding RNA, 208 nt
Filed under: Solanum tuberosum (potato)
Lineage: Eukaryota; Viridiplantae; Streptophyta; Magnoliopsida; Solanales; Solanaceae
Description: long non-coding RNA (STUB_LNC000154)
Source: RNAcentral